Molecule: microRNA precursor, 60 nt
Filed under: Lottia gigantea (owl limpet)
Lineage: Eukaryota; Metazoa; Mollusca; Gastropoda; Lottiidae
Description: Lgi-Mir-193-P1_pre stem-loop
Source: RNAcentral
UGGGGAUUUUGUUUGUCUAUAUGUACUGAUAACAUCAUACUGGCCUGCAAAAUCCCAACU